RNAcentral lists this ribosomal RNA (433 nucleotides) under uncultured bacterium. RNAcentral describes it as "partial 16S ribosomal RNA". It matches the Rfam family "Bacterial small subunit ribosomal RNA", at positions 29 to 507 of the family's 1533-position model. The record is from RNAcentral.
AACGAACGCUGGCGGCAUGCCUAACACAUGCAAGUCGAACGAGGCCUUCGGGUCUAGUGGCGCACGGGUGCGUAACGCGUGGGAACCUGCCCUUAGGUUCGGAAUAACUCCCCGAAAGGGGUGCUAAUACCGGAUAAUGUCUUCGGACCAAAGAUUUAUCGCCUUUGGAUGGGCCCGCGUUGGAUUAGCUAGUUGGUAGGGUAAAAGCCUACCAAGGCGACGAUCCAUAGCUGGUCUGAGAGGAUGAUCAGCCACACUGGGACUGAGACACGGCCCAGACUCCUACGGGAGGCAGCAGUGGGGAUUAUUGGACAAUGGGCGAAAGCCUGAUCCAGCAAUGCCGCGUGAGUGAUGAAGGCCUUAGGGUUGUAAAGCUCUUUUACCCGGGAUGAUAAUGACAGUACCGGGAGAAUAAGCUCCGGCUAACUCCGUG